This 313-nucleotide long non-coding RNA is filed under the name Bos taurus (domestic cattle). RNAcentral's name for it is "long non-coding RNA NONBTAT011436". The record is from RNAcentral. Lineage: Eukaryota; Metazoa; Chordata; Mammalia; Artiodactyla; Bovidae.
GUCAAAAGCCAAAUAAAGCUGUAUUUUAUACUGUACAAAAGAAAAUUUACAUCCUUAAUGUAACUAGAUACAUCUAGGGAAAAAUUACACAUUUCUCAAGAAACACAAUAUUUAACAUCUUAGAUAUGUUUCUGCAUUGCAGACUGAUAAUGAAUUUUAUACAUCAUGAUCUUAAAUGUGCAUUUCUUCUUCAGCUCUGAAAAAAAUGUUUUCACUAGUCCUAGUUUGAAAGGACAUCAGUCAAUAGAGAUCAUAUUUUCUUCCUGACUAUCAUAUUUAAAUUUUAACCAGCACUAUUCUCUGAAUACUUGGC